Non-coding RNA from Styela clava, 4660 nucleotides. The record is from RefSeq and is a predicted model, not a curated record. NCBI's taxonomy places the organism in Eukaryota, Metazoa, Chordata, Ascidiacea, Stolidobranchia, Styelidae.
UUCAAAUUUUUUGAGAUGCAGUGAGCAAAUAAAUCUAUAUUCUAUUCGAGAGAUGUAUCACUGCUUUAUUGUUAUUAUAAAAAGUAUCAUACGUUCGGUUUUCAACUUUCUAAAAAUAUGUACGGCCAGCCAAUAACUUGCAACCCUUACAUUUGGCCCGCGAGUGACGAAAGGUUGCCGACCUCUGCUCUAAAGCUUAUCUCCCCCUGCCCUUCUCAUUCCUUAUCACCCGCUACUCUUCUAGAAUAAUAGCUACUGGAGGCCUGCCUCCAAAUACUCUCAGCUGUUGUGGCCUCUGCUAUUUUGAAAAAAUCUUACUUUUGCUUUUAAAGAUUGCGGUCAAAUUACAGACAAUUCAUGCAGGGUGCUCGGACACUCGCUACUUUGUCUGUAGAAGUAUUUGACCUAUGACCUAUGCUAAAAAAAAAUUCAAAUAUAAUUAUUGCCUGUUCAAAAUUCUAUAUUAUCUGAUCUGUACACUGCAUCUUAAGUUUUUCACUGAACUUUUCUUUGCCCAAUAAUUUUCCUUAAAACAUUUUAAUUUUUUUUGGCAAUACUUAACCCACUUUCUUUCAGUUUUUGGUAAAAACACAUAUUGUUGAUGAGACGUUCAAUGAUUAUGUUGGCAGUUACAAAUGAAUGUAAUUUUGUUGUUUGAUUUUUUUUUGUGCAAUUCCAUUUCCUAUUUUGCAAUCUUCACAUAAAAUGCAUGUUUUAUGUUGUCAAUAGCAUUUGAGACAUUAAUUGUGAAUUUGUUUUAGGUAAAAAUGUCUAUUUUGUUUGAAUAUGUAUUUGAAACUGGGUUACUAUUUCAAUACGCGACAUGGUAUGGUAACUGGAUGAGAGGUUUGUCAUAUGAUUGAGUCAUCCUAUUGACCACCGUCAAGGAUAAAUAUGGCAGACCUAGCCUAAUACUUUUUAUCAGCACAACAUAAAUUAAAUAGAACUGAUUAUUUUGAUGUCUAGUUCCUUUGAUUAUGCUCAUAUUUGCAAGAAAAAGUUCCAAAAUAAUUCAAAUUCAUCAAUUUACCUAUGGAAUCAUUAAUUGUGAUUCUGCCUAUUUAAAAUAAUCAAUCGAUUCUCCAAAUAUUUUUGAUUACAUACAAUUAAUUUGAUUCGCAAUAACUGGGAUAUAAGGCCUCUCCAUAGUCUUAAGUGUAAAACAUUUCUCCAUUUUUAUGUUAUGUUUAUUUAUACCCUGCCUUAUUAAUAUGCUUCUCUCACUAAAAUGCUUUAUCCAUGGCCGUUGAUAGAUUGUUCAGUGCUACUUUAGCGUGAGAUCUACCUUUGCAUUUUCCAACCCUAAUAGAUUUAAUUAAACAAUAAUCUCAUGAUUUGUACUCGUCCCAGAGUUAUUCCUCAGACUCAGGAUACUUUUAUUUCAGGCCAGGAAUUUUUAAAGAAUGUGGGGGGGAAUGGAAUCUGAAAUUUGCAAGUUAGAAUGUAACAGCUAGCAUGUUAGUGGUUUGUGAGAAAUUGUGGGUUUUAAGUCUUUAGGGUCUGAAAAACCUUUCAAGAUACAAAAAAAAGUUGGACCUCCUGAAGUAUGCGCACCAAGAUGACGCACAACUUGAACUCAGGUCGUGUACAAGGUUAGGGUUCAGGCUAUGCGACAUCUUGGUGCGCAUACUUCAGGAGUACCAAAAAAUUCUUAUAUGGUUCAGGAAAUUGCUUUUUUACAUUUCAAAGGGGGGGUGGGGUACCAAAUCUCACCCCCUACCUGCUGUGCCCAUGCUCAGGACUAUACCUGAGUGGUAAGGUGGUAGACCUCAUGCUAACGCAGCACCAGUUUUUCUUUACCAGGCCUCGCUAUGAACUGAAGGUCUGGGCUGUUACGAUAAGAGUACAAUAGGUUAGGGUUGCCAUACUGUCCGGAAAAUUCCGAACAUGUCCGAAAUUUAGGGUUAAAUUUUGCGUCCGAGAAGAAUUUAAAAAAUGCUUAAAUGUCCGGAAUCCGGAAUUUUACUGCAUCUGCAAUCGUACUGUGCACACUGCUAGUAAAGAACAUUGUUAUUUCGUACCGUGCGCAUAUUUUUUACUACGAGGUCAGGAUAAGGUCAUGAACUGUCCGGAAUUUUGCUUUUUCAAAUAUGGUGACCCUACAAUAGGUAUGAUACAGAUUGGGGGAUUGGGUUAACACGACUUGAUUGACAUAAUUUUUGAAUAUACAGAGUGUCCAAAACAUUUCUUCUCUGUUUAUUAAUAGUUCUUAAUGUGCUUGUAGUUUUCAUUUAUCAUACAAUGAAAUUUAGUUUAACUUACAAUUGUUAUUACUAUGAAACCGGACAAAUUUUUUUGGACACCCUGUAUAUUUAGAUGCCUCCACACGGAAGCAAUUAUCUCUCCUCUUAGCUAUGGUACUGUCAAGAGAAAACUGGAAUUUACUUUUUGUAAUUUUUUUGAUAUUGUGUUAAAAUAAAAACAGCGUCCAUAUCAGCUCUUAGUGAGGCUUGAUAUAUUAUUCUUUACAUUCUAUUUAACAGAUAGAGAUUUAACCAUGCUUAUCAAAGGCCGACAUUUUAAAGUAGUUUGAAUAACUAUGGUUCACUAGAUUUCAAUAUAUGCUAAUUGAGACGCUUCAUUUCUACUUAAACUUCAUCCUGGAAGGCUUCUGAUCUGGGAUGGCCCAAACUGAUUAAUUUACACUUCUGAAUACAUUCUGAAAUAUUACUUUUUUACGAGGAAUGUCAAAUAUAUUUAAAAUGGGUCAAUUUUAACAGAGAACAUGCUUCAACCAUUGUAUAUAUUGUCAAUUUGAUAAUGUAUAAAAGUUGAGAUAAACAUCAUUUCGUACUCCCAUAGUGUUUCGGGGACUGUCUGUGGUAACCAAGUUAAUAUACCCCCUGCCCAUAGGUUUUGGUUUAGACGAACAAAAUUAUUUACCUCAAUAUUGGUACACAUACUUGUGGAGCGCCCAUCAGUUUGAUUGUUUUUCUAUCUUUACAUAGCAUGUUGAAUGAAGAUUACUAUUGGCCCAAAUGACUAUAUUUAGAACAAAAUCUAAAUUAAGUACUAAUUAUUUUUAACGUGUUUUUUUUUUAAAAGAGCCACCGCUAAUGUGGCAAUCGCAAUCUGCAGUACUUAAAAUAUGGCGGGUGUUUUUUUUCUCAAAUAUGACAUUUUUUCAUUAGUGGCUUUCUACAAAAUACCCUAGAACAGUGGUUCCCAAAUCGCGGGCCAAUCACAGCGUAACAAUUUAAUAUGGGCCACCGAACUUGAGUGAAAAAGUAUAACACUUUAUGUUUUUACCUUUUUGCGUUCUAGAUACCACCAACUAUUACGUCAUUAUCACAAUUUAAGCAUGUGUAUAUUGGUAACAAUUCAAUCGCUCCACUCUCCUGGUCUACGAAUAUCAAUCAACUUUGGGAACUACUUUUCUAGAAUAUAAAAUAUUUUUGGAAUGUAUUCAAAUAUUCAAUCUGUUUUGGACAUCACUGAUUCAGCUUGCUCACUUUAUCCCAAGUUAUUCAUGCUUAUUGAACUAUCAUACUCCUUCAUUUAGUAGCUGCCUAUACAUUAUACUGAAGUUCUUUGAUGAGUUGGUCGAAUUUAUGUCACCUGAUUUCACUUUUUCCUUUAAAUCAUGCAUGUUCACAGCAUUUAUUGAUUAAUAAAAUGCAAAUAAAUAUUUAUUGGAAUAUAAAAUGUCUUUUCAUUUGUAAGUUGCUGAAAAAUUUUAAAAUCGUGCUAUAGUAAAAUUAAGUGUCAAGGGCGAUGGAAUAGAAACUAAACUUGUAUUACCAAGAUACUAAGCAAUUAUUUUAGAAAGCAGGGGUUCUGAGUUUAUUGCAGGAAAAAAAAUUUUUUUUGUAUUUUCUCCUUACAAGCGUUUCACUUGCAAUAGUGAAUAUGAAGUCUCCUAAUACGAACCAAUAUCGGACAGAAAAUUUUAGAUUGUUUCAGCAUGCGAUAAUGCAAGGUUGUCGAACUUAAAGGGUGAAUACCUUGGGUACCCAUAUGCUAUUGUUUUAGGAAGACUGUAAAAUCAGGGGUUCUAAGUUAACUAUGGGAAAACACUUUUUGUGUUUCUAUUUUGCAAGAAUGUCCAAACAUAAUAUCGGGCUUCUCAAAGAUAUCUAUCAACAGCGAAUGAUAGAUGGGUAUAAUAUCCGAUUCUCAAAAUGACACAUAAUUUCCCCCUUGGGUACUUUAAUUAAUUAAUUAAUUUUUCAAGCAAGAAAGUGCACAAUCACAUGUUUUCAUAUUUCACUUGCAGCACAUUGCAAAACAUAGUUGAAAAGAUAAUUGUAUUUUUGGAAUUUGGUGAGUAAUAAGAAAUAAAAUAUCUUAAUCCCCUUCAAAAACGUAACAUUUUGAAAUAGUAUGGCUCUAUGGGAAUUUAGGAAUGCGUGGGCUCUAACAGAGAUAAUAAUAUACAAAUGUAAAAAAUGAAAAAUUACUAAAAUAAUUAAACGUUCACAUCCUGGGGGAGUCAUACACUUUACUUUUAUCAGUCCAUGUGUUUAAAGAAUGAUUCCUGUACAUUCCACAGACUCCUAAAUGUUGGGAAAAUCUUUGUGAUUUUCCGUGAAAAGUUGUUGGUGCUGAUUCAUGUGUUGCGGGGAGAAUUCCGUAAAUACUUGAAGAGGUUUUGUACAAAGGAUGUUGUGGUUGAUAACUUCCAUCCCAAGCCAUUUCAUCUCUUUCUACUUCCACUCGA